RNAcentral lists this ribosomal RNA (22 nucleotides) under Emblica officinalis (emblic). Its description in RNAcentral is "Phyllanthus emblica partial 18S ribosomal RNA". The record is from RNAcentral. Lineage: Eukaryota; Viridiplantae; Streptophyta; Magnoliopsida; Malpighiales; Phyllanthaceae.
GUGACAUGCGGAAGGAUCAUUG